AAUUGAACUACCUCUCUACCAUUCAAAUUUCAAACUUUUCACCCUUUAAUUUUUGGUUUUUCUUUUCCUAUUGUUGUUGACAAAGGGAUGGGAACAACAUGCAGAUUCUCAAUCAAGAAGCCAGGGAAGAUAAUUCCUUUGUUUCAAAGAAUCUGCAUAAAACAAUCCAAUACACUAUGAGCUGGUACUCACAUCGGCUUCCCUGAGCAAAACUUCAUAAUCAACGACAAGAAACGCGAGCUCAGAGGAAAAAGGAGUAGCAGUUCUUUUCCGAUGAUAGGUAGAAGAAAUGGGAACCUUUCGUGGAACAAGGAUGGCAAAGCAUGUGAUUCUCGGGAUGUUUGCCUUGAGCUUCACAGGAGUUUCCAGCUCUGAAG
Non-coding RNA from Salvia hispanica, 377 nucleotides. Lineage: Eukaryota; Viridiplantae; Streptophyta; Magnoliopsida; Lamiales; Lamiaceae. The record is from RefSeq and is a predicted model, not a curated record.